Molecule: long non-coding RNA, 804 nt
Filed under: Cricetulus griseus (Chinese hamster)
Lineage: Eukaryota; Metazoa; Chordata; Mammalia; Rodentia; Cricetidae
Description: lncRNA (ENSCGRG00000026410.1)
Source: RNAcentral
GUGAGAGGGAACUGUGGGCAGGGGGUGACUACGCAGUAGUUAAAACACAGCUGCUGCAUCCGCGAUCCUCUGGGAUAGGGCCUGGUCAUUUGUUUUUCUACCAUUAGGCUGAUGUUGAUGCUUCUAGUUCCCAGGCCACACUCUGAGAACCGCUGCUGGCUGAGAGUCAUAUCCCAAAGCCACAUUGCCAAGCCAGGAAAGAGAAUGUGCUAUGGAAGAGCUUCCGCGUGGAUUUCCUGUCUGCAGGUCUCCUGGAAGACCACUGCCUUUGUGAAGAGCCACACGCAGGUCCUCUGAGUGUGGAAGGGAAGCGAAGGAGGCCUCUUCUAACAUGGGAAGUGACCGCCAGGGAGAAGGUAAUUCACAUGACUGACAAGAAGAAAUGAAAUGUUCCUCACACACCUCUCUGUGUUUGGAUGUGCAGUGGCAGCAAAGGGUUUAAUGGCUUCUUCAAGCAAAAGGAGCCUGAGCUCCCAAAUAGAUCAGCAAUCUCCUAGGAUCAAAGGAAAAGCUGCUAGUCAACAGAGACUGCACAGAUGCAAGCUGCAACAGUGCCACCUCGUGGCAGCAUAGAGUAAAAGCAUUCAUGUGUCCGACCCUGCCCCUUCGCUAAGAGUCUAGGCCUGGCCAUUUAGUUCUUGAUUCUCCUGCCUCAGUUUGCCCCAUCUUGGCUUGUCGUGGACUUCUGAUAACCAGCCAGAUGGUUCUACAAAAGAUACUUGAUGGCAUCACAGCUGAUUACUGAAGAAACUAUUUAAUCUGAAGGGGUGACAAUAACUCGGUUGAGUCAGGGAAGGUUUGGGC